This 71-nucleotide transfer RNA is filed under the name Camelus bactrianus (Bactrian camel). It matches the Rfam family "tRNA". From Rfam's summary of the family: Transfer RNA (tRNA) molecules are approximately 80 nucleotides in length. The record is from Rfam by way of RNAcentral. Lineage: Eukaryota; Metazoa; Chordata; Mammalia; Artiodactyla; Camelidae. RNAcentral also lists the same sequence under 2 other names.
GAGGAUAUAGCUCAGCAGUAGAGUGCAUGCUUAGCAUGCACAAGUCCUGGGUUCAAUCCCCAGUACCUCCA